This 468-nucleotide ribosomal RNA is filed under the name uncultured bacterium. RNAcentral describes it as "partial 16S ribosomal RNA". It matches the Rfam family "Bacterial small subunit ribosomal RNA", at positions 28 to 507 of the family's 1533-position model. The record is from RNAcentral.
GACGAACGCUGGCGGCGUGCUUAACACAUGCAAGUCGAACGGAAAGGCCCUGCUUUUGUGGGGUGCUCGAGUGGCGAACGGGUGAGUAACACGUGAGUAACCUGCUCUUGACUUUGGGAUAACUUCAGGAAACUGGGGCUAAUACCGGAUAGGAGCUCCUGCUGCAUGGUGGGGGUUGGAAAGUUUCGGCGGUUGGGGAUGGACUCGCGGCUUAUCAGCUUGUUGGUGGGGUAGUGGCUUACCAAGGCUUUGACGGGUAGCCGGCCUGAGAGGGUGACCGGCCACAUUGGGACUGAGAGACGGCCCAGACUCCUACGGGAGGCAGCAGUGGGGAAUAUUGCACAAUGGGCGGAAGCCUGAGGCAGCAACGCCGCGUGCGGGAUGACGGCCUUCGGGUUGUAAACCGCUUUCGCCUGUGACGAAGCGUGAGUGACGGUAAUGGGUAAAGAAGCACCGGCUAACUAUGUG